CCUACGGGUGGCAGCAGUGAGGAAUAUUGGUCAAUGGACGAGAGUCUGAACCAGCCAAGUAGCGUGAAGGAUGACUGCCCUAUAGGUUGUAAACUUCUUUUAUAUGGGAAUAAAAUGUUCCACGUGUGGGAUUUUGUAUGUACCAUAUGAAUAAGGAUCGGCUAACUCCGUGCCAGCAGCCGCGGUAAUACGGAGGAUCCGAGCGUUAUCCGGAUUUAUUGGGUUUAAAGGGAGCGUAGGUGGAUUGUUAAGUCAGUUGUGAAAGUUUGCGGCUCAACCGUAAAAUUGCAGUUGAAACUGGCAGUCUUGAGUACAGUAGAGGUGGGCGGAAUUCGUGGUGUAGCGGUGAAAUGCUUAGAUAUCACGAAGAACUCCGAUUGCGAAGGCAGUUCACUGGACUGCAACUGACACUGAGGCUCGAAAGUGUGGGUAUCAAACAGGAUUAGAUACCCUUGUAGUC
This 460-nucleotide ribosomal RNA is filed under the name uncultured bacterium. RNAcentral's name for it is "partial 16S ribosomal RNA". It matches the Rfam family "Bacterial small subunit ribosomal RNA", at positions 338 to 795 of the family's 1533-position model. The record is from RNAcentral.